UUCAGCUUUGGGUGCUGACGGUGGG
This 25-nucleotide non-coding RNA is filed under the name Cricetulus griseus (Chinese hamster). Lineage: Eukaryota; Metazoa; Chordata; Mammalia; Rodentia; Cricetidae. The record is from RNAcentral.